UGAUGACUAGACAUGAGCACCAAAGAGAUUGUUUAAGAGCUAGAUAUAUUAAAAAGAUUUUAAAUAGAUUUUCAAAAAGCAGCUUGUUAUGAGGAGGAAGCGACAAUUACCUUUGGAUAAAGUGAUCGCAGUUAUAGGGAAUGUAAUUGUACCACCAUUUGCUGAGCAGCUAUUUAGAAAUGGUCCAAUGUACGCUAUGGAGAAAGAGCUAGAUAUAAAAAGUCAAAUACAUUAUGUGGCAAACUUACUAGCUAACUUACCAGUGCAAGUCUUGGAGAAAGAGAAGUUGAGAUGAGAGUUCGUCAAAGAGAAGUCACAAGGAAGAUCGAAAAUAACUAAAAAUCUGUUGAAUAAGGAAGAGUUACGCUUGCUUAAAAAAAAUAAGCAAUGGAUGGCAAGUGAGGGUGUUAUAAUCACACGUGAG
RNAcentral lists this long non-coding RNA (424 nucleotides) under Androctonus crassicauda. The record is from RNAcentral. Lineage: Eukaryota; Metazoa; Arthropoda; Arachnida; Scorpiones; Buthidae.